UCAUCUCUAUAUGAUGUACACUCUUAUAUUCUAUAAAAGACAUUCUUCCUCACAUUCUCACACAAGUGAAUACAUCCUAAUCCUUGCACUCUUUUUUCAAGAAAAAUCCACUAAUUCCUGGAUUCUUAGAAGGAAAAACACACCCAGAAUUUCUGCAAUUUUAGAUAUACAUAGAUCGAAGAAGUUUUUAUCUUCUCAAGUUAAUUUUGAGCUAAAAGUUGAAGUUCAUUCUGGGACUUACUGCUGAUUUCUGUCUACUCAUUGCUGAUUCUUAAGUCUCGUUGAACUUCUCUCUUUCAUUUUAGCCUUUAUUUGGCCAUUCUAAGUUCCCUAACUGCAUUUCAAGGUACAUGUUCUAACUUCAAACCAUGUAAUUGAUAUUAGGAUGUUUUAUUGUUAUACAAUCUAUGUUGUUUGUUAGUUGAUGUGUACGGUGGAUGUUCCUCUAUGUUUGACUGCAAAUUUGAGCUUAGAUUGAAGAAAAAUGGUUUGAUAAAUCUUCAUACAUGCUGGUAACCUAAGUAAUAAAAUAAUUAUCAGUUCUAUAUUUUGAUUUAUGACUGCUGAGAUUUGGUUUGUUGUUGGUGAAUUUCAUACAUGUGAUGUUCUGAAGGUUUCCUAUUAGAUUUGUGGCCUAAGAAGUAAGAUGUCGGAAGUGUUGGAGAUGAGCUUGGAAAUAUGACCAGUGCUUGGCUUGAUUUUAAAGUUUUGUCAAUUAAAAGUGGUCAUCUAUUGUAAUUAUUGAAUUUUAGUUUAGUAUGGUUCUUGAUAUAGAGUUGUAAUAAUUCAGUUCAUUAUCAUUGAAUGUUGUUAUACAGAUUUAGUAGACUGAUAGUUAACGUUAAAAAAAUAUAGAUUAUGGAAUGUUGUUAUAUAGCAGUUUAUCAUGAGUUUAGCAUGUUAAAGUCCCUCUUGCACGAAGUAGCUUCAUUAUUAGUAGUUUAUUAACAGUAGAGAUGUAAAUGUUAAUUUAGGGAUGAUAUUGUAUAAGUAAUUCAAUUGGAGCUGGUGUUUAAACUCGUUUGAAGUACUUUAGUCUGUUGUGAUUUGUUACGGG
This 1057-nucleotide long non-coding RNA is filed under the name Nicotiana tabacum (common tobacco). RNAcentral's name for it is "long non-coding RNA (NTAB_LNC007004)". The record is from RNAcentral. Lineage: Eukaryota; Viridiplantae; Streptophyta; Magnoliopsida; Solanales; Solanaceae.